RNAcentral lists this ribosomal RNA (477 nucleotides) under uncultured bacterium. RNAcentral's name for it is "partial 16S ribosomal RNA". It matches the Rfam family "Bacterial small subunit ribosomal RNA", at positions 28 to 507 of the family's 1533-position model. The record is from RNAcentral.
GAUUAACGCUGGCGGCGUGCUUAACACAUGCAAGUCGAACGAUGAAACUUUAAUGAACCCUUCGGGGAGAAUUAAAGCGGAUUAGUGGCGAACGGGUGAGUAACGCGUGAGUAACCUGCCUUACACAAGGGGAUAGCCUUUGGAAACGAAGAAUAAUACCCUAUAAAACCAUAAAAGCACAUGCAAUUAUGGUCAAAGUGAUAGCGGUGUAAGAUGGACUUGCGUCUGAUUAGCUAGUUGGUGAGAUAAAAGCCCACCAAGGCAACGAUCAGUAGCCGGCUUGAGAGAGUGUACGGCCACAUUGGGACGGAGACACGGCCCAGACUCCUACGGGAGGCAGCAGUGGGGAAUUUUGCACAAUGGGGGAAACCCAGAUGCAGCGACGCCGCGUGAUUUAGAAGGCCUUCGGGUUGUAAAAAUCUUUUGUAUAGGAAGAAAAUGACAGUACUAUACGAAUAAGGUCCGGCUAAUUACGUG